GACUACAGGGGUAUCUAAUCCUGUUUGCUCCCCACGCUUUCGCGCCUCAGCGUCAGUAACGGGCCAGUGUGUCGCCUUCGCCACUGGUGUUCUUCCGAAUAUCUACGAAUUUCACCUCUACACUCGGAGUUCCACACACCUCUCCCGUACUCAAGAUGUCCAGUAUCAAAGGCAGUUCCAAGGUUGAGCCCUGGGCUUUUACCUCUGACUUAAACAUCCGCCUACGCGCCCUUUACGCCCAGUAAUUCCGAGCAACGCUAGCCCCCUUCGUAUUACCGCGGCUGCUGGCACGAAGUUAGCCGGGGCUUCUUCUGCGGGUACCGUCAUUAUCGUCCCCGCUGAAAGAAUUUUACAAUCCUAAGACCUUCAUCAUUCACGCGGCAUGGCUGCGUCAGGGUUUCCCCCAUUGCGCAAGAUUCCUCACUGCAGCCCCCCGUAGG
RNAcentral lists this ribosomal RNA (440 nucleotides) under uncultured Phenylobacterium sp. RNAcentral's name for it is "partial 16S ribosomal RNA". The record is from RNAcentral. Lineage: Bacteria; Pseudomonadati; Pseudomonadota; Alphaproteobacteria; Caulobacterales; Caulobacteraceae.